AGCGAGGUGGGGUAGUUUGGUAAUCCCAUCAGGCUCAUAACCUGAAGAUCAUUGGUUCAAAUCCAAUCCUCGCUA
RNAcentral lists this transfer RNA (75 nucleotides) under Thermoplasmata archaeon. RNAcentral describes it as "tRNA-Met". It matches the Rfam family "tRNA". Rfam says of the family: Transfer RNA (tRNA) molecules are approximately 80 nucleotides in length. Their secondary structure includes four short double-helical elements and three loops (D, anti-codon, and T loops). Lineage: Archaea; Methanobacteriati; Thermoplasmatota; Thermoplasmata. The record is from RNAcentral.